Molecule: ribosomal RNA, 832 nt
Filed under: uncultured Flavobacterium sp.
Lineage: Bacteria; Pseudomonadati; Bacteroidota; Flavobacteriia; Flavobacteriales; Flavobacteriaceae
Description: bacterial SSU rRNA
Rfam family: Bacterial small subunit ribosomal RNA
Source: RNAcentral
UCAGGAUGAACGCUAGCGGCAGGCUUAACACAUGCAAGUCGAGGGGUAUAGUUCUUCGGAACUAGAGACCGGCGCACGGGUGCGUAACGCGUAUGCAAUCUACCUUUCACAGAGGGAUAGCCCAGAGAAAUUUGGAUUAAUACCUCAUAGCAUAGUAGUCUCGCAUGAGACCACUAUUAAAGAUUUAUCGGUGAAAGAUGAGCAUGCGUCCCAUUAGUUAGUUGGUAAGGUAACGGCUUACCAAGACUACGAUGGGUAGGGGUCCUGAGAGGGAGAUCCCCCACACUGGUACUGAGACACGGACCAGACUCCUACGGGAGGCAGCAGUGAGGAAUAUUGGACAAUGGGCGCAAGCCUGAUCCAGCCAUGCCGCGUGCAGGAUGACGGUCCUAUGGAUUGUAAACUGCUUUUAUACAGGAAGAAACACCUCUACGUGUAGAGACUUGACGGUACUGUAAGAAUAAGGAUCGGCUAACUCCGUGCCAGCAGCCGCGGUAAUACGGAGGAUCCAAGCGUUAUCCGGAAUCAUUGGGUUUAAAGGGUCCGUAGGCGGUUUAGUAAGUCAGUGGUGAAAGCCCAUCGCUCAACGGUGGAACGGCCAUUGAUACUGCUAGACUUGAAUUAUUAGGAAGUAACUAGAAUAUGUAGUGUAGCGGUGAAAUGCUUAGAGAUUACAUGGAAUACCAAUUGCGAAGGCAGGUUACUACUAAUUGAUUGACGCUGAUGGACGAAAGCGUGGGUAGCGAACAGGAUUAGAUACCCUGGUAGUCCACGCCGUAAACGAUGGAUACUAGCUGUUGGGCGCAAGUUCAGUGGCUAAGCGAAAGUGAUA